CAUAUGUGGGUCCGACCACCAUUAAUCAAAUACAAACUUUCUUAAUAAUUAGGAGUAUUUUAGAUGAUGGCACCUAGCUAGAUAUUUAGCUAAAACUGUUUUUGGGGAAGAACAUUGUUUGCGUCCAUCAGCUAGCUGGCUUUUUUUAUGACCAGCACUGUCCAGAAGCUUGGGGAGACGUGUCUGCGCUCGUGCGGCAGCGGCCGGCAGGAAUCAGGAGGCAUCCAAACACAGGAACAGACACAGGGACAGGAGUGGAGGGAACAGAGAUGACCACAGUCACACCCGGUGCUCAGCACGAGAGACCUAGGAGAGUUCCUGUGUGAUAAAGAGCAGCAGCUGGAGCGUUUUUCGGAGGGAGGAGGAUGGAGGAGCAGAAAAAAAGAGAGGAGAGGAGACAACAGUAGGAAGAGGAGGAGAAGGUCAGAGGUCAAACUACUAUGCACCCUCGUUUUUUUUGUCCUCAACGACUCCUUCCAACUCCCCCACACCCUGUUUACCUCUCUCUCGCUCUCUCUCUGAUUUGGGUUGAGUAUGGUCUGCCUGUUGGGUUAGAUUAGAUGUGCUUUAAUGGUGAACAUCUCAACUGAUGAUUUGAAAUUGAUUGGGAGACAGCCCAUCAUUGCAGACAGACUCUCCCGUUUAUGUUAAUAGAUUAAUGAUUGGGCGGUCUCUGUGGCUGCACCAUGAUGUCAUCGUUGACGUAUCAUGUGUCAUUUCCUGGAAUCAGACAAUACAUGAUAUAUAUCUGUCACACGCACAUGGAUAUGAAUAUUUGAUUAUGUGUAGGACCAGAUAGAGUUUCCAUAUGAUACAAUAGGAUGUGAUAGGAUAUGAGGCCAGUUUUAGCCUAUAGAAUUGAUGUUGGUUUAUUACUGCAGAAUUAUCAAUUAGAUAUGCAAACAAUAUGAGUUAAUGUAUUGAUAAAAAACACUGUUGAUUAAUCUGUCUCUGGUUAUUUAGGCGUGUGUGUGUUCUGCUGUAGAACUCUGUCUCUGGUUAUUUAGGUGUGUGUGUGUUCUGCUGUAGAACUCUGUCUCUGGUUAUUUAGGUGUGUGUGUGUUCUGCUGUAGAACUCUGUGGAGGUUCUAUUUUAGUCCUGGCACCGGUCGGGUUCUGGGUUGCCGUAGCGAUAUUGUCCGCUAUCACCUCAGAUGACUCUCUCUCUCUACCUCUCCUCCCCCUCUGCCUCUUUCUCCCUCUCCCCCACCCUCGGCUUCCCUCUAUCUCUCUGGAUCUCUUUAUCGCUAUCUCUCUCUUUUCUUCUCUC
Non-coding RNA from Oncorhynchus mykiss (rainbow trout), 1270 nucleotides. NCBI's taxonomy places the organism in Eukaryota, Metazoa, Chordata, Actinopteri, Salmoniformes, Salmonidae. The record is from RefSeq and is a predicted model, not a curated record.